Long non-coding RNA from Ostrea edulis (European flat oyster), 7575 nucleotides. RefSeq lists it as uncharacterized. The transcript is spliced from 10 exons. NCBI's taxonomy places the organism in Eukaryota, Metazoa, Mollusca, Bivalvia, Ostreida, Ostreidae. The record is from RefSeq and is a predicted model, not a curated record.
CAACAGCAGAGACGAGUCAUGUAUCGAAAUUUACAAACGAUAAAGUAAAGCCGUCAAUGAAAGGCUAAAAGAUAUAAAUGCCAUUAUGAAGAUGAAAGACCCCAUGGCAAGAAAAGUAGCACUGGUUCAUUACAGACAAUACUGAAGUCCAUGUUCAUGAAGAUAUCUACAAAUCCUUAAGUUGUUUGCGAGUUUUGUCAGAAAGGACAUCAACAGUGCUACCAUCUACAACAAAAGCUACGCAGUGAAUUUUGUCCCGUAGCUUUGGGACUCUCACGAAUCCAGGGGUAUCCGUUGUGAAGGGAACCAUGGGAUUAAACUACAAAAGUCGUCACACUGUGCUCAAAACUUCCACUACACGCCUUGCUGGUGAUUUUCCCACGGAAAAUAGAGUUAACAGAGUUAAAGAAACUGGAUUUCCCAGCACCAAUUUGACCAAUCAGAAGAAUGUUCGCAGCUGUUGUUUUGGCUUCCGUCACUGUAAUAAAAACCUACACCAAAGUGCAAAAGCAAGAACAUCAGCACAGAGAUAAAACAAAGAAGAAUGAGAUGGCUUGGUCACGUAAUGAGAAUGCCCCAGACCAGGAUUCCCAAAGUAGCUCUACACUGGACACCACCUGGAAAGAGGAAAAGAGGCAGACCACGUACCACCUGAAGGAGAACCAUAACAUCAGAACUUGAGGUAAUGGGCUACUCAUGGGGACAGGCACAGUAUAUUGCCAAGGACAGAGCGAGAUGGAGACAACUUGUUGAAGCCUUAUGUUCCACCGGGGACGAAGAAGAUAACGAGAUAUAUCGCUAGUACAUUUACCAUGAUACGAGCUGCAAUACCAACCAGACCCAACCUGACAGAAAACAGUACCAGAGCAGUCCAGGGGACUUCUUUUUGAGACGGCUUAGCAGCCCUAGAGCAGUCCCGCACCAGUCCCAUGGCAGUCCCACACCAGUCCCAGUAAACAAACCGAAAAAUCAUUGCAGUAGUCCCAGCGGUCCAAGCAAUCCCAAUAGGCGGGGUUAAAAUAACUAGUGGGAGGAGACAAGCCAACAGUGAGAUUAUCAAUAAACAUUGUCGAUAAUCGCUGGAGCCGUCAAUACGGUAGUCAAAAUCGAAAAUAAAUGACUUACAAUGUAAUUAUAGAGAAAAACAAUACAUUAUACAUGAAAACAGCACAUAUUCAAAAUACUUGUGUGACACUUUUUCAUGAAUUUAUAACAAAAUGCUAGUUUAUGUGGCGUCGGUGGCCGAGUGGUUAGGCCGUCAGACUCUCGACCGAAAGGUCGUGAGUUCGAGUCCUGGCCGCGGCAGGGCUGACGUUGUGUCCUUGGGAAAGGCACUUUACAUGAAUUUCCUCACUCCACCCAAGUGUAAAAGGGGUACCUGGCUAUAGACAGUGAAAGAUAUUGUUAGAAUGUUAGUGCUCUAGCCCUUGUAAUGGCAGCUUGUAUUGUAUGCUUCCUAGGAGGCUGAGAAAGUUCUAGAUUAAAAUAAGGUCAAUGUACAUUGAUUAUUGUAAAGGGCUUUGAGCACCAUACGCUGGGUAAGGCGCUAUAUAAAACGAAUUAUUAUUAUUAUUAUUAUUACGAGUGAAAAAAGAUACAUGUAGAGUUUAUAAGUCUGAUAACCACAAUUUCACAACGUAAAAUCAAUUGACGUCCAUGUUCUGUCAGGCAAUUUUGUUGUUGUCAUUCAUUAUUUAUUUUUCUUUAAUAUUAAUACAUGUGAAGUGUAUCUUGGGUUCUGAAAAUUAUGUAGCAUAAUUAUAUUUAUUUCUUGACUGGGUUAUUGAAAUAAAUGUGUUUAAAUUCGCCUAAAUGAUUUAUUCACUUAUUGUCUAUAUCAAACUAGCAAAAACUGCUUUCCAAUUACGUGUACAGGUAUUUUUAAUUUGUAAAUGUAGAUAUGGGCCACUUAUUGUCAGCAUAAUAAAAUUGUUUAAUUUCACUACAACAUUUAGACAGAUUUAAAUAAUUAUGAAGAUUUCAAUCAAAGUGUAUGUGAACAUGUUGUUUUAACAUGAAAUCGAAGGUAUAGUGUUUGUAAAGUGCAUGUUCCCAAAUAGACAUACCUUGUCUGGAUACAAGAUCAUUAUUUUCUCUGUUUAUGGAUUCGGGUAUUUGGGAAUUAUUCAGUACAUUAUCUUUCAUCAAAAUUAUCAGCCACUGAAUGUAGGGAGAUAUUUUUGUUAUUCUAUUUCCAUCCAUUAUCUUCUCAAGUUGUCUAGUGAAAGUGCGUCAGUAAGCGGUGAAAAAAUUACUGAAGUGAUUUGCGUAUAUUUUGAAUAGGCAGUGGUGGGGAUUUCUUGUCAAUCAUAACAUCACGUGAUUCAUUCACGCUUGGCUGAACAGAGCAGCCCCAGAAAGAAGGCCCGGGGACUUCUGGGACUGCUUUCUAGAGCAGUCCCAGGGCAUUCCCAGAGCAGUCCCACUUUUUCAGAGAGCAGUCCCAGAGCAGUCCCCAGGACUGCUUUCUGGGACUGCUUUGGUUUCAGGUUGGGUUUGGUUGGUACUGUUAAACUUAUGCGGUACCAAUUUUGAUGCACCAGAUGCGAAUUUCGACAAGUAAUGUCUCUUCAGUGAUGCUCUACCGAAAUUUUUGAAACCCGAAAAAACAGUAAACUUGGAGGUCUUCAGACCUAUUUUAGGGGAAAACAGAUUGCCAAAAAGUGGAGUCCAAUUCAUCUAAGGAUAAGAGCUAUGCAUGAGGAAGAUCCUUAAGUUGUUUGCGAGUUUUGUCAGAAAGGAUAUCAACAGUGCUGCCAUCUCCAAGAAAAGCCACGCAGUGAAAAUUGUCCCGUAGCUUUGGGUAUCGUAGGAAUCUAGGGGUAUCCGUUGUAAGGGGAACCAUGGGAUUAAACUACAAAAGUAAAUAUAAUUGUUGGGAAUCAAAAUACAACUACUAACUAUGGAUAAAAAUUAAUUGUUCCGACCAUCUGUAAUUAUAUCUAAGUUAUGAUCAUCAAGCUUCAUUUAUUCCAAUAAGGAGUUAAGCAAAAUCGGGAUUUUCUUUGGCAAUCGUCACUGCAGAAGGACACACCACCACAAUAUGCGUUAGAUUAAGUAAAGAUGAAGCAAAAAUGAGCUUAACGAAAAAUGUAAUGAUAAGGAACAGUGGAGAAUCUCAUAAAUCGUAUCAAAAAUACAAAUUGGGAGGAGGGCAAACACAGAAAACAAGUCAACUGAGGAUACUUAUGCCUCCUAGGUAGCUUUUUCAACCUCUAGAGUGUUAAAAGAUUCGUGAUUGUCCUAGUCUUCAUUUUCUGUUUUUAUAGGAUAUUCUUUUAUUGAUCACUGUUUGUGAUCUCCACCUUUCAUCCGAAGCUCCCAUAAAUAUUUUCAAUUAGGAACUUUAAUUUCCUUUUGAAUGUCAAGUUCAGAAUAUUUGUGCAUAAAAUCAGAAUGUUGUCUAGCAAAGUUUAAUUUUGAAUGACUGCUCAAAAGUUUAUUGAAGUAACAGCUGUCUACAAGAUUGAAAAGCCUAGCCAUUAAUUUUCAAUAAGGAAUGGUGGUGGACAGUAUUGCAGAGUCGUGGUCACACUGUGCUCAAAACUUCCACUACACGCCGUGCUGGUGAUUUUCCCACGGAAAAUAGAGUUAACAGAGUUAAAGAAACUGGAUUUCCCAGCACCAAUUUGACCAAUCAGAAGAAUAUUCGCAGCUGUUGUUUUGGCUUCCAUCACUGACUUGCUGAUGGUACCAGUAAAAGUUUUCAGAUCAUGUCCACCACCAAACGUCGGACCACUAUCACUGUCUACAUAUGUCUCUUUGUAAUUUGAAACUUCAUUGGAUUGGACGAUCCGUUAUACUGCAUCCGAAACAGAAAUGCGUAUGGAUCAGUGAUGUAACUGUCAUUAGAGUUCCAGCUCUGUGACAGGUACCCCCCGUAACUCAUUGUUCGUUAUAUUCACCUUUCAUACAGUAAGUUGGGAGAGUUUAUGCAUUUAAAUCGCUAAGCAGUCUAUGAAAUAGCUUGAACUGUUCCAAUUUACUUUAUAUCGUAUGAAUUGAGUAAACUUUGUUUCAUUCCUUAUAGUUUAAUUUCGUAAACCGCCUUUGAUAUCAUUUGAUGAAGGAUUUUAAAGAACAUAUGAAUUCUAUAUGACACAAACCAAUAAUGCCGUACAUGUAGCAAGACAAUGGAAACUGAACAGCCAAAGGUAUUAUGACUCAUUGCUAGGACGUCAUAUUGCGGGACGAAACGGCAACUUUGUUUAUACUAUAAAAAAUAUAAAGAAUGUUGAUAACGCCAAAAUGAACCAAUCUCACCGCGUGUUACAUUUAGAAUUAAGUUAUAUUUAGAUAUAAAUGAUAUGUGCAUAAUUUAGAAAUAAUUAAUGCUAUGAACCAAUUCUUAAUUUCGUUUUAAUUUUCGGAUAAUUUAACCGUUGUACAUUGAAGUAUUAUAUACAUUAUCCACCAAUUUUAAUACAUUCCUCCUAGAGUAAACCCGCGGGGAUCCGGGUAAGAAUAUAUCCUAAAUACCUCUUACUUGUCAUAAGAGGCGACUAAAUGGGGCGGUCCUUCGGAUGAGACCGAAAAAACGAGGUAUCGUGUCACAGCAGGUGUGGCACGUUAUAUAUAUUUCUCACUGUUCAAAGGCUGUAAGCGCCAAGCAUAUGCCUAAAUUUUGCAGCCCUUAACUAGCAAUGGUGACGUCUCAAUAUGAGUGAAAAAUAACUCUCGAAAGGGAGGUUAAACAAUGUAAAAUCAAUGAAUCAAUCAAUCCUCCCCGAAUAGUCUUCAACAAUACCAGCUGACUCGUGCAAUGACAACAUAUGAUAAAAUGCCUGAACAUCGUUGAUCAUGACACUAUUCAUAGAGGAAAUAUCGAGGAAAUUUAUAGUUACAUGUACGUAAUAAAUCAAACCUCGAGCCCUUACAUUUUAGUCCUACAUUCUAUAGCUUACUACAACUGUCAGUCGAGCUAUUGCAGUCCAACAAUGUACAUCUAUGUGGUGUUUUCAGUUCUAGAUACAUAUGACUUCGUUGACCGACGCUUGUCAGGUAGAUAAUAUUCAAUUGUUACUAACUUCAGAAUCACCCCGUCCCCGAAUAGUUCAAGAUCCUUUUAAAUGCACCGCUAUACUAUCCCGGGUGACUUACUAGAAUUGGCCAUUGUCGUCCGUCGUGCGCUAACAAUUGAACAUUUUAACUUCUUCAUCAUUACCAUUUUCAUAGAUUUCAAAGUCGAGAUGAAGCAUAUAUGGGAAAAGAUGGACAUAAAUUCUAAACUGCAAGACUCAUAUAAUCCUAUGGCCUUAGGGGUGGGGCAAAAACUGCCAAAUAUUAGCAAGAUUUAAACUAUCGUCCUCUCUACAACCGAACAUUUGUAAGAAAAACGAAAUGUAUUGCGAUAUAGAACAGGAAGGCCCCUUGAAAAUCGUAAAUUUCCUGAUCCCCGGGGUAGACUUCUUUCUUUACCUUGGCUGAUAUUGUAUAAAGAUUGUGGGCAUAUUGAGAAAAAAGAGAAAUGGGGGGGGGGGGGGAUUCGAAUUUCGUAACGACACUCCCAAGGGAUCUGACUAUAGCCAUAUAAUGCUAAUGAAGGGUUAUGGUAAUGGACAGUGGUUAACUUUCAGAACUCCUAUAAGGAAUGCAACAAAGAAUUAAACAAAUAUGGGCUCUUGGAUACACGAGAGGUGGGAUCAGGUGGCUAAGUAACAAUAUAAUGUACGGUUUGCUCACCGUUGUUUCGCGGAUAAAUUGUGCUGAUCAAAGAUUUAUGCGGAAAUAAUCGUAUGGAGAUGGCAGUUUUGUGAGACAUUAAAACGACUCUUGUAGGGAUAUUGCAAUUUUUCUGCUAGAUGUCCUUACAGUGACGGUAAAAUGGAAGUUUCAUGCCUUCCAGCGGUCACAGUUGAUGCCCUUGUUUCAUUAGAAGUUUUUAAACACUUCUCUUUCCACCCUUGUUAAUUCUACAAAACUAAGAGUUGGGCAAACACGAACCUCUGGAUACACCAGAGAUGGGAACAGGACUCACAUUUUCUAAAGUUCGUAGACGUAAACGUAGGAUUUACGUCUGACUUAAGAUUACAGUUAUGCACUCGUAAAAUGGUAUUCACAAAACCGUUCGUAGCCGCAAACGUAAUUUACGAAUUCUUGAAUGUAUAACUUACACUUACGAGUGCGCAGUGACUAUUUUCACUUCGAAGUGUAAAAAGUGUGAAUUUGCUCAUCUACUUUGAAUCCCCUGCACUACCUCCACAUUAUAACUUAAAAUGACGAAAAGGAACACGGAACCUUGUGAGAAAGCAACGAAUUUCAACAUACACAUAUGUCUGCCUACGGUAUGUCAAUCAAUUGUACUGUUAUUCAGUGUUAUUUACAAAUUCAAAUGGAAGGUUCAUCAAAUUUAACGCAUUUGUUUAUGGAUCUGCGAUGCAGUACUUGUUAAAUUGUUUCAAUAGAAGUGUUAGUUAUUUACAAUUGUAUAUGUGCCCACUAUUUACACAUUAAGACACAACCUCAUUGGUGUACAUGGUAUCCUCACACUUUUGACAACACCAUAAUUGAAAUUCAAAAUUAUUUAUCCUAUAUUUUUUAUUCCAUGAUUAGGACAAGAGCAAAGCAGUGCCAUAACUACCUAUACACAAGUACGCAAAUAAUUUUACAUCAUUUCGCAAAAAGAAAAAAGAAUAUUUGUGAAAAAUUAAUCUAAAAAAAAAUAUAUACAGGCACUUAUUCUAAAAUGUGUUAUUUGUACGUGCUCCUCCAUUAGUUAUAAAAUAUGAAAAUCAUUAUUGUUUCAACAAUAUAUACUCUGGGCGAACAGGUAGAUAGGGUGAAUUGACCCGAUACCAGAUGAGAUCUCUUUCAGCAUCAUUUCAAUUAUCGUUUGUACACAUUCACGUACAAAACUUUUAGAAAACAUUGUGAAUCAAAAUCGUAUUCAAAUACAGUUGUACAACUGUGUAAAGUCAAUGUUAUUUUAUUUAAUUUAGAAUAACUUUGACUAUAUAUGAAUUGGAGAUAUUAGGUGUGAUAUACAUGUAGCAUGCACCAGAUAUCCAAGUUAGCUGACUUCUUUUAUUUUUCAAAAGGUCAUAAAGGUGGUCAGGAAAUAAAUUGCCAACAGACAGCAGCAUUCCUUGAUUUAGAUGCAUUUCUAUUCAUGUCUUCUCCUGAAAGUUUUUCCAUGAUGUGUCAGGGUUAGGAUUGGGAUGCAGGAUGUACAGUGCAUUCAUAGGAUGUCUAUGGGUACAAUGCUGUAAUGGCCUGAAAAAUCUUUUGCGAAACGGAGAAAUGCUCACCUUCCAUUGCCAUGAUUGUGUGAAAAGACGAGCAGGGGAAUUAUUCAAAAACAUAUGGCAGGACUGAGAAUCCAACCCAGGACCCAUAGUCUGGUACUCUACCCAAUGACCAAUCCAUGCUGAUUGUCCAUCUGCUACAUUGAUGUCAUCGUAUAUAUUUAUUUAUUCAUUUAUUUCAUAUGGACAUUUGACAUUAAAAUAAAAAAAUAUCUGAUAUUCAUCAAAACAAAUUUUUUUACAAUAUAUGUUUAAAUUAGAUAAAUGCAUUGUUAUGUAUACAAUUAUGUACAUGAGAUUAUAUUUGUUAAUAGAUAAAGUUUUAGAUGAA